CAAGUCGAGCGAGAUUUUUUCCUGUAGCAAUACAGGGAAAAGUCUAGCGGCGAACGGGUGCUUAACACGUGGGCAAUCUGCCGAGAAGUGGGGGAUAGCUCGCCGAAAGGCGAAUUAAUACCGCAUGUGAUGAGAGUGGACAUCCAUUCAAAAUCAAAGUCGGGGCAACCUGACGCUUCUUGAGGAGCCCGCGGCCUAUCUGCUAGUUGGUGAGGUAACGGCCCACCAAGGCUUAGACGGGUAGCUGGUCUGAGAGGACGACAGCCACACUGGGACUGAGACACGGCCCAGACACCUACGGGUGGCAGCAGUCGAGAAUUUUUCUCAAUGGGGGAAACCCUGAAGGAGCGACGCCGCGUGGAGGAUGAAGGUCUUCGGAUUGUAAACUCCUGUCAUUGGGGAACAAUGCGCAAAUAUUAACUGUAUUUGCGUUGAUAGUACCCGAAGAGGAAGAGACGGCUAACUCUGUGCCAGCAGCCGCGGUAAUACAGAGGUCUCAAGCGUUGUUCGGAUUCAUUGGGCGUAAAGGGUGCGUAGGCGGCGCGGUAAGUCGGGUGUGAAAUCUCGGAGCUUAACUCCGAAACUGCAUUCGAUACUGCCGUGCUUGAGGACUGGAGAGGAGACUGGAAUUUACGGUGUAGCGGUGAAAUGCGUAGAUAUCGUAAGGAAGACCAGUGGCGAAGGCGGGUCUCUGGACAGUUCCUGACGCUGAGGCACGAAGGCCAGGGGAGCAAACGGGAUUAGAU
This 746-nucleotide ribosomal RNA is filed under the name uncultured Verrucomicrobiota bacterium. Its description in RNAcentral is "bacterial SSU rRNA". It matches the Rfam family "Bacterial small subunit ribosomal RNA", at positions 58 to 783 of the family's 1533-position model. The record is from RNAcentral. Lineage: Bacteria; Pseudomonadati; Verrucomicrobiota.